GAGGUAGAUAGGCUGGGGGUGGAAGUGCAGCAAUGCAUGGAGCUGACCAGUACUAAUCGGUCGAGGGCUUAUCCAA
This 76-nucleotide ribosomal RNA is filed under the name Paenibacillus amylolyticus. RNAcentral's name for it is "partial 23S ribosomal RNA". It matches the Rfam family "Bacterial large subunit ribosomal RNA", at positions 2849 to 2925 of the family's 2925-position model. Lineage: Bacteria; Bacillati; Bacillota; Bacilli; Caryophanales; Paenibacillaceae. The record is from RNAcentral. RNAcentral also lists the same sequence under 1 other name.